RNAcentral lists this ribosomal RNA (490 nucleotides) under uncultured bacterium. RNAcentral describes it as "partial 16S ribosomal RNA". It matches the Rfam family "Bacterial small subunit ribosomal RNA", at positions 30 to 507 of the family's 1533-position model. The record is from RNAcentral.
AUUGAACGCUGGCGGCAGGCCUAACACAUGCAAGUCGAACGGUAACAGGAAGAAGCUUGCUUCUUUGCUGACGAGUGGCGGACGGGUGAGUAAUGUCUGGGAAACUGCCUGAUGGAGGGGGAUAACUACUGGAAACGGUAGCUAAUACCGCAUGACGUCGCAAGACCAAAGAGGGGGACCUUCGGGCCUCUUGGCAUCGGAUGUGCCCAGAUGGGAUUAGCUAGUAGGUGGGGUAACGGCUCACCUAGGCGACGAUCCCUAGCUGGUCUGAGAGGAUGACCAGCCACACUGGAACUGAGACACGGUCCAGGCUCCUACGGGAGGCAGCAGUGGGGAAUAUUGCACAAUGGGCGCAAGCCUGAUGCAGCCAUGCCGCGUGUAUGAAGAAGGCCUUCGGGUUGUAAAGUACUUUCAGCGGGGAGGAAGGGAGUAAAGUUAAUACCUUUACUCAUUGACGUUACCCGCAGAAGAAGCACCGGCUAACUCCGUG